RNAcentral lists this long non-coding RNA (1328 nucleotides) under Anas platyrhynchos platyrhynchos (common mallard). RNAcentral describes it as "lncRNA (ENSAPLG00000016998.1)". Lineage: Eukaryota; Metazoa; Chordata; Aves; Anseriformes; Anatidae. The record is from RNAcentral.
CUUGAAUGAAAUCAGAAAUAUUGACACAUUUGUAUGGGACUGAAAAAAAUGCAUGUAGCUAAGUAUUUUAAAGCAGGUCACCUGCUAACUUCUGUUGGUAAAACAAAUGGCUUGCUGCAUAUACUGAGGCCUUAAACUUUGGUGAAUUGUGUCCUGUUUACACAUAUUAAUUCUUUUUCCUUUCUGUCUUCUAGUUUCAAGAUUCCUUCUUCAAUAUUAAGUUUGUCCCACAGACCAGCACACCUAGCCAGGCGUUUUAAUGCAAUGUUAGUCAUGACUUAGAAAUGUGGGUAAUCUAUGCCACCAUGGUUUGUGAGUAAAGAAAAUGCAAAUAUCAUCCUGUGACUGAGAGGCUGAUUAGAUAUUACAAGUCUACACACAAGACACAUCUUCAGUAAUGUGCCAUUUGAUGAGCGAGGAACUGUAAAGAAAGGCCUCCUGCAGUUGCCGUGUUGCUGUAUUUGUCAUCAGAGCAUAUGAGUAAAAGGAGAUGGACUUCUUGCUGCACACUGGUACCUGAGGAAAAAAAGUUUUGUGACCAGCACAAGCUACAUCUGAGGGCCUGGAAUUUCUCUGGAAGAAAACAAAAAAUGAUGAAUUUAUAGGAGUUUCUGCCAUUAUUGCAGAGGAUUUUGGAAUUUCUGCUAUUCUUGGCUGGAUGGAGAAAGGAAGAGCAAGAAGCAGAGUACCCUGACCUUGGGAAAAGGCUAUAAUCUAGUGUCUUUAUAGAGAUGAGGAAGCUGCUUUGACAAGUAGAAGUUAAACCCUAAAUGGUCCGGGACUAUCUAGCCAUUGCUUAAUCUUCUUAAUAUGGACGCACACUUCAGAGCCCUGCGAGCACUAAGAGGCCUUAAUAGCCAUGAUGGUCCCACCUGGGCACUCCCCGCUCCCUCUGCCUCUCGGCCAGCAGCUGUGUUUGCACCCAGCACCUGCCUGAGGUGUGCCAGACACGCAAUGCUCUUCAGCUCAGCCAGGCCUGGGGCCGGACCAGCACUCACUGCACCGUAGCCCAAGCCUGACCUGCAGGUUGAAUUCCUGUCUUGGCAUUGGACCUGCCUUAUCACCGUGGUAUUGCCUCCUGCACUGGGCUCAUGGCCAGGGCUGGCCACUGCCUCUGGCCUUGCUGUGCUGAGGGAGUGGGUGGCCCUCGCCAUGCCCAAGGUCAGUCAGCUAUUUGUGCCCAGACCCGUGGCACCACCUGCUGCUCUCUAACUGCAAAGGUACAAAUUGUUACAAAUCAUGGAGUUAGUCAGAAUGUGGGAUAGGAGAGAGGUUGGUUUGUUAACAGAUUUGCUCAGCUGCAGUUUAAAUACUAGCGGCUAUGUUAA